UACGUAGGAGGCGAGCGUUGUCCGGAAUCACUGGGUGUAAGGCGCGUGUAGGCGGCCUGCCAAGUCUGCUGUGAAAGCGCCUGGCUUAACCGGGCGAGGUCGGUGGAAACUGGCGGGCUGGAGGUCGGUAGAGGGGGGUGGAAUUCCGCGUGUAGCAGUGAAAUGCGUAGAUAUGCGGAGGAACACCGAUGGCGAAGGCAAUCCCCUGGGCCUGCACUGACGCUCAUGCACGAAAGCGUGGGGAGCAAACAGG
Molecule: ribosomal RNA, 253 nt
Filed under: uncultured bacterium
Lineage: Bacteria
Description: partial 16S ribosomal RNA
Rfam family: Bacterial small subunit ribosomal RNA
Source: RNAcentral